RNAcentral lists this ribosomal RNA (398 nucleotides) under uncultured bacterium. RNAcentral describes it as "partial 16S ribosomal RNA". It matches the Rfam family "Bacterial small subunit ribosomal RNA", at positions 523 to 918 of the family's 1533-position model. The record is from RNAcentral.
AUACGUAGGGUGCGAGCGUUGUCCGGAAUUACUGGGCGUAAAGAGCUCGUAGGUGGUUUGUCGCGUCGUCUGUGAAAUUCCGGGGCUUAACUCCGGGCGUGCAGGCGAUACGGGCAUAACUUGAGUACUGUAGGGGAGACUGGAAUUCCUGGUGUAGCGGUGAAAUGCGCAGAUAUCAGGAGGAACACCGGUGGCGAAGGCGGGUCUCUGGGCAGUAACUGACGCUGAGGAGCGAAAGCAUGGGUAGCGAACAGGAUUAGAUACCCUGGUAGUCCAUGCCGUAAACGGUGGGCACUAGGUGUAGGGGUCUUCCACGACUUCUGUGCCGUAGCUAACGCAUUAAGCGCACCGCCUGGGGAGUACGGCCGCAAGGCUAAAACUCAAAGGAAUUGACGGGG